CGGCGAUGUCCGAAUGGGGAAACCCAGUGCAAUUCGUUGCACUAUCGUUAACUGAAUACAUAGGUUAACGAGGCGAACCGGGGGAACUGAAACAUCUAAGUACCCCGAGGAAAAGAAAUCAACCGAGAUUCCCCCAGUAGCGGCGAGCGAACGGGGAGCAGCCCAGAGUCUGAAUCAGCUUGUGUGUUAGUGGAACGGUCUGGAAAGUCCGACGGUACAGGGUGAUAGUCCCGUACACCAAAAUGCACAGGCUGUGAACUCGAAGAGUAGGGCGGGACACGUGGUAUCCUGUCUGAAUAUGGGGGGACCAUCCUCCAAGGCUAAAUACUCCUGACUGACCGAUAGUGAACCAGUACCGUGAGGGAAAGGCGAAAAGAACCCCGGCGAGGGGAGUGAAAAAGAACCUGAAACCGUGUACGUACAAGCAGUGGGAGCACCUUCGGGUGUGACUGCGUACCUUUUGUAUAAUGGGUCAGCGACUUAUAUUCUGUAGCAAGGUUAACCGUAUAGGGGAGCCGCAGGGAAACCGAGUCUUAACUGGGCGUUAAGUUGCAGGGUAUAGACCCGAAACCCGGUGAUCUAGCCAUGGGCAGGUUGAAGGUUGGGUAACACUAACUGGAGGACCGAACCGACUAAUGUUGAAAAAUUAGCGGAUGACUUGUGGCUGGGGGUGAAAGGCCAAUCAAACCGGGAGAUAGCUGGUUCUCCCCGAAAGCUAUUUAGGUAGCGCCUCGUGAACUCAUCUUCGGGGGUAGAGCACUGUUUCGGCUAGGGGGUCAUCCCGACUUACCAACCCGAUGCAAACUACGAAUACCGAAGAAUGUUAUCACGGGAGACACACGGCGGGUGCUAACGUCCGUCGUGAAGAGGGAAACAACCCAGACCGCCAGCUAAGGUCCCAAAGUCAUGGUUAAGUGGGAAACGAUGUGGGAAGGCACAGACAGCCAGGAUGUUGGCUUAGAAGCAGCCAUCAUUUAAAGAAAGCGUAAUAGCUCACUGGUCGAGUCGGCCUGCGCGGAAGAUGUAACGGGGCUAAACCAUGCACCGAAGCUGCGGCAGCGACACUAUGUGUUGUUGGGUAGGGGAGCGUUCUGUAAGCCUGCGAAGGUGUGCUGUGAGGCAUGCUGGAGGUAUCAGAAGUGCGAAUGCUGACAUAAGUAACGAUAAAGCGGGUGAAAAGCCCGCUCGCCGGAAGACCAAGGGUUCCUGUCCAACGUUAAUCGGGGCAGGGUGAGUCGACCCCUAAGGCGAGGCCGAAAGGCGUAGUCGAUGGGAAACAGGUUAAUAUUCCUGUACUUGGUGUUACUGCGAAGGGGGGACGGAGAAGGCUAUGUUAGCCGGGCGACGGUUGUCCCGGUUUAAGCAUGUAGGCUGGUUAUCCAGGCAAAUCCGGAUAAUCAAGGCUGAGGUGUGAUGACGAGGCACUACGGUGCUGAAGUAACAAAUGCCCUGCUUCCAGGAAAAGCCUCUAAGCAUCAGGUAACAUCAAAUCGUACCCCAAACCGACACAGGUGGUCAGGUAGAGAAUACCAAGGCGCUUGAGAGAACUCGGGUGAAGGAACUAGGCAAAAUGGUGCCGUAACUUCGGGAGAAGGCACGCUGGUGUGUAGGUGAAGUCCCUGCGGAUGGAGCUGAGACCAGUCGAAGAUACCAGCUGGCUGCAACUGUUUAUUAAAAACACAGCACUGUGCAAACACGAAAGUGGACGUAUACGGUGUGACGCCUGCCCGGUGCCGGAAGGUUAAUUGAUGGGGUUAUCCGUAAGGAGAAGCUCUUGAUCGAAGCCCCGGUAAACGGCGGCCGUAACUAUAACGGUCCUAAGGUAGCGAAAUUCCUUGUCGGGUAAGUUCCGACCUGCACGAAUGGCGUAAUGAUGGCCAGGCUGUCUCCACCCGAGACUCAGUGAAAUUGAACUCGCUGUGAAGAUGCAGUGUACCCGCGGCAAGACGGAAAGACCCCGUGAACCUUUACUAUAGCUUGACACUGAACAUUGAGCCUUGAUGUGUAGGAUAGGUGGGAGGCUUUGAAGCGUGGACGCCAGUCUGCGUGGAGCCAACCUUGAAAUACCACCCUUUAAUGUUUGAUGUUCUAACGUUGGCCCCUGACCGGGGUUGCGGACAGUGUCUGGUGGGUAGUUUGACUGGGGCGGUCUCCUCCCAAAGCGUAACGGAGGAGCACGAAGGUUAGCUAAUCCUGGUCGGACAUCAGGAGGUUAGUGCAAUGGCAUAAGCUAGCUUGACUGCGAGCGUGACGGCGCGAGCAGGUGCGAAAGCAGGUCAUAGUGAUCCGGUGGUUCUGAAUGGAAGGGCCAUCGCUCAACGGAUAAAAGGUACUCCGGGGAUAACAGGCUGAUACCGCCCAAGAGUUCAUAUCGACGGCGGUGUUUGGCACCUCGAUGUCGGCUCAUCACAUCCUGGGGCUGAAGUAGGUCCCAAGGGUAUGGCUGUUCGCCAUUUAAAGUGGUACGCGAGCUGGGUUUAGAACGUCGUGAGACAGUUCGGUCCCUAUCUGCCGUGGGCGCUGGAGAAUUGAGGGGG
RNAcentral lists this ribosomal RNA (2537 nucleotides) under Klebsiella oxytoca. RNAcentral describes it as "bacterial LSU rRNA". It matches the Rfam family "Bacterial large subunit ribosomal RNA", at positions 105 to 2670 of the family's 2925-position model. The record is from RNAcentral. Lineage: Bacteria; Pseudomonadati; Pseudomonadota; Gammaproteobacteria; Enterobacterales; Enterobacteriaceae.